RNAcentral lists this long non-coding RNA (1837 nucleotides) under Volvox carteri. Its description in RNAcentral is "long non-coding RNA (VCAR_LNC003378)". Lineage: Eukaryota; Viridiplantae; Chlorophyta; Chlorophyceae; Chlamydomonadales; Volvocaceae. The record is from RNAcentral.
UCCUGUACCACUUGGAGUUUAUGGGGGCACCUAGCAACACCUCGAUGAAUAACCUGCUGGGAGACUGUGCGGCCGUUAUUGACAGGCGUCAACCGCCAUCUGUGCGGGACAAUGCUGAACGAAGACGGGCCCCGGGUGUGGGAGUUGCAUACAUGCCGUUUCCUCCUGCCAUUGGAGGUUUCGGUCUUAUUCCUUUGCACGAACAUCUGCGUGCACGAUUUGCCUGUUUGUCCUGUCGUGCAAUCCUUGGUAUGGCUGGUAUGUUGGAAACUAACCCCAUGUGGACUCGGGUAUUACUGGCAAUAUUGCGUCAUAUCCACCCGGCAGCCCACCCAUUAUGUCUGUUGGCCGUUAGGGGAGAUGUACGAGAUGGCCGUGUCACUACUAUCCUGGGUAGGCCUGUGCCGAAUGAUUGUCCGGCAUUAACACGAAUUCUAUCAGCUAUGACUUCCCUACCACAACCUGUCCUUCUGGAUGCGCAACAUCUAGCUCCGGGUCCUUGGUGUUACCAUAUCCCUCUUUGGGGAAACCCUUUGCUAAAUGACGCUCAGUUGGACGAACAUUUUGGUGAUCUUAGAAAUUUGCGUGGGUUAGAUACCGUAGGUAUGGCCGUACGAUGCCACACAGCUAUGUCGUCUACGUGGAAUUUGGUGCGCAUGGUUGGUGUACAAGGCCUUACUGAGGCGCAACACUUUCAUUGUACGAAUCUGUUUCGUACUAUCGUGGUACGGGGCAUAUUAGGGCUUACGCCGAGGCAUCCCCUGCCGGCAUCGUGUCAGUCGGGGGCGACUGCCAUAACGCGUAUAUCGCAACUUAUCGACCGCCUACCCCCGCAAUGGACCAUAGCGGCGAUAGUAGCUAUUAAUGACAGANACCAUGAAAUACCGCCUCCGNNNNNNNNNNNNNNNNNNNNNNNNNNNNNNNNNNNNNNNNNNNNNNNNNNUUCCCCGCUUCAAAGCUGUCAUGGAUGUNUUCCACGCAGCCUCGGGACAACGACUCAACGAUCGCAAGGUUGAGCUCUUGCCGCUUGGCACAUUCACCCGCAAUACAAGACCGGCGGACUUACCACCAGCGAAUGCUAUUGGUAAUCAUUUAAUCAUCCCGGUUACUAACCUAACGCAUAUGGCGAACUCUGUGGGUAAUGAACAAGUAGCAGACGAGGUUGAACAGCAGCCUAUUGUAGGUUCAAUAGUUGGCGAUUUCAGGGUGCUCUCAGUAGCUACAACCCUAGGGAUUCGCGUCGCAGAUAGGCCUUCGCUCGAACAGCAAUCGGUUUCGCUUUCUCCUGUGAGGAAUAGCUUGCAGUUAGUCGCUGGGAUGCAUUUAUCAGCUUUUGGUCGAGCUUUUGCGGUAUCAGGUUAUAGCAUUAGUAGAGUCCUGUACCACUUGGAGUUUAUGGGGGCACCUAGCAACACCUCGAUGAAUAACCUGCUGGGAGACUGUGCGGCCGUUAUUGACAGGCGUCAACCGCCAUCUGUGCGGGACAAUGCUGAACGAAGACGGGCCCCGGGUGUGGGAGUUGCAUACAUGCCGUUUCCUCCUGCCAUUGGAGGUUUCGGUCUUAUUCCUUUGCACGAACAUCUGCGUGCACGAUUUGCCUGUUUGUCCUGUCGUGCAAUCCUUGGUAUGGCUGGUAUGUUGGAAACUAACCCCAUGUGGACUCGGGUAUUACUGGCAAUAUUGCGUCAUAUCCACCCGGCAGCCCACCCAUUAUGUCUGUUGGCCGUUAGGGGAGAUGUACGAGAUGGCCGUGUCACUACUAUCCUGGGUAGGCCUGUGCCGAAUGAUUGUCCGGCAUUAACACGAAUUCUAUCAGCUAUGACUUCCCUACCACAAC